This 40-nucleotide ribosomal RNA is filed under the name Pseudo-nitzschia delicatissima. RNAcentral's name for it is "partial 28S ribosomal RNA". The record is from RNAcentral. Lineage: Eukaryota; Bacillariophyta; Bacillariophyceae; Bacillariales; Bacillariaceae.
GGUUAGUAUAGUAUAUUGUACUAGCUGCUUGCUAUCCAAU